AUGUGCAUCAAUCAUAUCUCUCCAAAUUUUCUCCCGACCCAUAACCGAACCACCGUGCUUCGGUUUUUUAUUGAUAUGCAUAGCUACGAUCAUUGCAAGAUCCUCCUCCUCUUCCAUAUCAAAUUCUUCUUCGGAAGAAUCAUACGACGAACUCAUCUACAAUGUUCAAUACUAUACUAUAAAAACUACAAUUCAAAACAUGCACCAAAAUCAAUGAAGUUUGAGCAAUACAUACCUUGUAGGCGUUUUGUCAAACACCUUGCGGGCGCGGCGUGGCAGCGAGCGCUCGGGCGCUGUUCCUCGGACGACGGAGGCGCGCGGGCUCCGGCGGUACUAGGAGGGGAUGGGCGGAAGCGCGGGCGCGCGGGGAUAGGCCGGGGAAGCCUGGGACGGUGGCCGGGGUGCGCGGACGGCGGCGGCGGCGCGGCCGGUCGGGGGUGGAAGCGCGAGAGGAAGAGCGGGCGCGAGCGCUCGAGUGUGCCGCUCGCUGUAGUGGGCGUCCGUAAUACGCCACGCGGGUAA
This 522-nucleotide ribosomal RNA is filed under the name Triticum aestivum (bread wheat). RNAcentral's name for it is "partial small subunit ribosomal RNA". Lineage: Eukaryota; Viridiplantae; Streptophyta; Magnoliopsida; Poales; Poaceae. The record is from RNAcentral.